Molecule: RNA transcript, 1790 nt
Organism: Salvia miltiorrhiza (redroot sage)
Lineage: Eukaryota; Viridiplantae; Streptophyta; Magnoliopsida; Lamiales; Lamiaceae
Exons: 3
Source: RefSeq, a predicted model, not a curated record
UGAGGUAUGCUAGUGCUGGGCUUUACAAAUGGCCCAAGGUUAAGAGUCCAAGUCUAAAUUUAUCAGCAGCUGGAAAUCGCCGACACGCACUCGAGCGUAUUUCUUCUCACAGUAACCAGUCUUCGGCCGCCGACGAUGGCUGAAGCAACCGCCGACGACCAGUUAGUGCAGCAACAGCAGCCUCCGCCGAAACCGCGGCCGAAGCGCUUCGUAAAGAACCAAGUCCCCGACUCAAUCCUCAACGACGCGGCGCUCAACGCCGCUAUCUCCCUCCUCCCGGCCAACUACAACUUCGAGAUCCACAAAAUCAUCUGGCGCGUGCGCUCCUCGAACGCCACCCGCGUCGCUCUCCAGUUCCCGGAGGGCCUCCUCAUGUACUCACUCGUCAUCUCCGACAUACUCACCACCUUCGCCUCCGUCGCGCACUGCUUCAUCCUAGGCGACGUCACCUACGGCGCCUGCUGCGUCGACGACCUUUCCGCGCGCGCGCUCGACGUGCACCUGCUCGUGCACUUCGGCCACAGCUGCCUCGUCCCCAUCGAUUGCACCACCGUUCCUGUGCUCUACAUCUUCGUCGAGAUCGCCAUCAACACGCGGAAGCUCCUGCACGAGCUGAGUUACAAUUUUAGCCCUAAUCAGAUCAGUAAUUUCGUCAUGGCUGGAACUAUUCAAUUUUCGAACGCGAUCCGCGCGGUGAAGCCGGAGCUGGAGAAUUUAGGGUUCAGGGUUUUAAUUCCCCAGUCGAAGCCCCUUUCUGCGGGGGAAGUCCUCGGGUGCACUGCGCCAAGCGUGAAAUUACAUGAUUCUGCGGGGAAGGACAAUGUGAUUAUCUUUGUGGCGGAUGGAAGGUUCCAUUUGGAGGCGUUUAUGAUUGCGAAUCCGGAUAUUAAGGCGUUUAGGUAUGAUCCUUAUUUGGGGAAGUUGUUCUUGGAGGAGUAUGAUCAUGAGGGGAUGAAGGGGAAUAGGAGAAAUGCGAUAGAGAGGGCGAAAGGGGCGGAAACGUGGGGUAUUGUGUUGGGGACCUUAGGCAGGCAAGGGAAUCCUGUGGUGUUGAACAGGUUGGAAGGGAAAAUGAGGGAUAAAGGAUUGGAUUAUAUGGUGGUUUUGAUAUCCGAAUUGUCGCCUAAGAAGAUUGAGCUGUUUGGCGAUGCAGUGGAUGCUUGGGUUCAGAUUGCGUGCCCCAGAUUGUCUAUUGAUUGGGGUGAUGCGUUUAAGAAGCCGUUGCUGACAUCCUUCGAGGCUGAGAUUGCACUCGGGGAUUUGGCCGGGUGGUGGGAGAGGAAACCAGUAUGUAAUGAUAGUUUGGAAGGGGCCAUGAAGGAAGGUUGUUGUGGAAAUGACAACGGGCAAAAGGGUGUGGAUUAUCCGAUGGAUUAUUAUGCGCAGGAUGGAGGGGAGUGGAAUUCUUCUUACUCAAAGAAGCCUGCUCGUGGGAAAAAAGAUCAGUGCUGCAAUGGUAGUAGUGUGAGAUGUUAAAGAUUUGGAUGAGAUUAAAGAUAACAUUACAUGUCAUAGUUAUACCCAGUUUUUAGUUUAGGGGGAGGAUGAAACAAUGCUCCAGUUCUGUACAAGGCUAUUUUCAUAAUGUUCCGUAACCAAGGGCGUCGCCACUAUCAUGGUCUCCUACUCCAGCUUCAACGGAGACAAGAUGCAGCUAACACAAAUCUCAUCACUGGUUUUCUCAAGAAAACUCUAUGCUUCAGAGGAUUUGUCAUCUCGGAUUAUAAGGACAUAGACCUAAUAACUGAUCCGCCUCAUGCCAACUACACAUAUUCGAUUCUAGCAGGAAU